Molecule: ribosomal RNA, 253 nt
Filed under: uncultured bacterium
Lineage: Bacteria
Description: partial 16S ribosomal RNA
Rfam family: Bacterial small subunit ribosomal RNA
Source: RNAcentral
UACGGAGGAUGCAAGCGUUAUCCGGAUUUAUUGGGUUUAAAGGGUGCGUAGGCGGGUCUUUAAGUCAGUGGUGAAAUCCUGCAGCUUAACUGUAGAACUGCCAUUGAAACUGAAGAUCUUGAAUUUAGUUGAGGUAGGCGGAAUGAGUAGUGUAGCGGUGAAAUGCUUAGAUAUUACUCAGAACACCGAUUGCGAAGGCAGCUUACUAAACUAACAUUGACGCUGAGGCACGAAAGCGUGGGUAGCGAACAGG